UAACAUGUCUAUAUAUACAUUAUAUUAUUAUUAUAUAUGGGUAUAAUGUGGGAGGUAACAUGUCUAUAUACACAUUAUAUUAUUAUUAUAUAUGGGUAUAAUGUGGGAGGUAACAUGUCUAUAUAUACAUUAUAUUAUUAUUAUAUAUGGGUAUAAUGUGGGAGGUAACAUGUCUAUAUAUACAUUAUAUUAUUAUUAUAUAUGGGUAUAAUGUGGGAGGUAACAUGUCUAUAUACACAUUAUAUUAUUAUUAUAUAUGGGUAUAAUGUGGGAGGUAACAUGUCUAUAUACACAUUAUAUUAUUAUUAUAUGGGUAUAAUGUGGGAGGUAACAUGUCUAUAUACACAUUAUAUUAUUAUUAUAUAUGGGUAUAAUGUGGGAGGUAACAUGUCUAUAUACACAUUAUAUUAUUAUUAUAUAUGGGUAUAAUGUGGGAGGUAACAUGUCUAUAUACACAUUAUAUUAUUAUUAUAUAUGGGUAUAAUGUGGGAGGUAACAUGUCUAUAUACACAUUAUAUUAUUAUAUAUGGGUAUAAUGUGGGAGGUAACAUGUCUAUAUACACAUUAUAUUAUUAUUAUAUAUGGGUAUAAUGUGGGAGGUAACAUGUCUAUAUAUACAUUAUAUUAUUAUUAUAUAUGGGUAUAAUGUGGGAGGUAACAUGUAGAUACAGUGCAAUCAAAGUAUUCAGACCCCUUGACUUUUUCCACAUUUUGUUAUGUUACAGCCUUAUUCUAAAAUGGAUUCUUCUUUUUCUAUCUACACACAAUAGCCCAUAAUGACAAAGCGAAAAUAGGUUUUUAACCCAUACCCUUUGAUAUGAGACUCGAAAAUGAGCUCAGGUUCAUCCUGUUUCCAUUGAUCAUUCUUGAGAUGUUUCUACAACUUGAUUGGAGUUCACCUGUGGUAAAUUCAAUUGAUUGGACAUGAUUUAGAAAGGAACACACCUGUCUAUACAAGGUCCCACAGUUGACAGUGCAUGUCAGAGCAAAAACCAAGCCGUGAGGUUGAAGGAAUUGUCUGUAGAGCGCUGAGACAGGAUUGUGUCGAGGCACAGAUCUGGGAAAGGGUACCAAAAAAUGGCUGUAGCAUUGAAGGUCCCCAAGAACACAGUGGCCUCCGUAAUUCUUAAAUGGAGGAGUUUGGAACCAGCGAAACUCUUCCUGGAGCUGGCCUGCCGGCCAAACUGAGCAAUCGGGGGAGAAAGGCCUUGGUCAGGGAGGUGACCAAGAACCCAAUGGUCACUCUGACAGAGCUCUAAAGUUCCUCUGUGGAGAUGGGAGAACCUUCCAGAAGGACAACCAUCUCUGCAGCACUCCACCAAUCAGGCCUUUAUGGUAGAGAGGCCAGACGGAAGCCACUCCUCCGUAAAAGGCACAUGACAGCCCGUUUGGUGUUUGCCAAAAAGCACCUAAAGGACUCAGACCAUGAGAAACAAGAUUCUCUGGUGAACUCUUUGGCCUGAAUGCCAAGCUUCACGUCUGGAGGAAACCUGGCACCAUCCCUAUGGUGAAGCAUGGUGGUGGCAGCAUCAUACUGUGGGAAUGUUUUUUAGUCGCAGAGACUGGGAGACGAGUCAGGAUAGAGGGAAAGAUGAACGGAGCAAAGUACAGAGAGAUCGUUGAUGAAAACCUGCUCCUGAGCGCUCAGGACAUCAGACUUGGUAGAAGGUUCACCUUCCAACAGGACAAUGACCCUAAGCACACAGCCAAGACAACGCAGGAGUGGCUUCGGGACACGUCUCUGAAUGUCCUUGAGUGGCCCAGCCAGAGCCCGGACGUGAACCCGAUCGAACAUCUCUGAAGAGACCUGAAAAUAGCUGUGCAGCGACGCUCCCCAUCCAAUCUGACAGAGCUUGAGAGGAUCUGCAGAGAAGAAUGGGAGAAACUAUACAACUACAGGUGUGCCAAGCUUGUAGUCUCAAGCUAUUUUUUAUUAUUAUUUUUUAUUAUUAUUAGUCUCAAGCUCUGUUGUACCAAAGACUCAAGGCUGUAAUCGCUGCCAAAGGUGCUUCAAAGUACUGAGUAAAGAGUCUGAAUACUUAUGUAAAUGGAGUAGUUCAGUUUUCUUUUUAAUAAAUUAGAAAUGUCUAAACCUGUUUUUGCUUUGUCGUUAUUUGGUAUUGUGUGUAGAUUGAGGGGGAAACAAUUUAAUCCAUUUUAGAAUAAAGCUGUAACCUACACACUACCCCAUAAGACUUAGGGUAAAAACAGGUUCGGGCGAAAACAGGUUCGGGCGAAAACAGGUUCGGGCGAAAACAGGUUCGGGCGAAAACAGGUUCGGGCGAAAACAGGUUCGGGCGAAAACAGGUGAGGGCGAAAACAGGUGAGGGCGAAAACAGGUGAGGGCGAAAACAGGUGAGGGCGAAAACAGGUGAGGGCGAAAACAGGUGAGGGCGAAAACAGGUGAGGGCGAAAACAGGUGAGGGCGAAAACAGGUUUGGG
Molecule: long non-coding RNA, 2442 nt
Organism: Oncorhynchus keta (chum salmon)
Lineage: Eukaryota; Metazoa; Chordata; Actinopteri; Salmoniformes; Salmonidae
Exons: 4
Source: RefSeq, a predicted model, not a curated record